UACAGCAUUAGCGACUUUAUUUAGAUAUUUGUUGUUGUUGUUGCAUAGGAAAUGCAUAUCUUGAUUCCAGUAAUUGAUUCUGCGUGGACAUGAUGGUUUCACUAAUGGAAAUGAGAAAGAUGAUUUUACACCAGUAAUAAAAAAACAACAGUAAAAAGGAAAACAGAAAAAAAACAACGGUCACACAAGGUGUUCGGACAACCGACAGUUAACAACAACUCUACAUCAUAACAGAACAUACAAUGGCAGUCAAUAAACAAUGGCGCUAGUAACAUCCAACAAACAAUAGGUGCUCAAUGGUUCACUGUUCUGUUCCAGAAAAGUAUAGUAGAGGCACAAGGUAUUAGUCAGUUUCACUUAUCUGUUGAAUCCUAAAACGUUUGAUUGUGAUUUAUGAGGACCGAAUGGAAUGGUGGUUUGUGAGGACUCGCGGAGGCAGUGACGGGGAUGCUGGGAUAUGAAGUCUUGGUGACGUGGAUGCUGGGAUAUGAAGCCUUUGUGAUAAGGAUGUGGGACUCAGACUGCACCAGGAGUUCAUUGAUCUCCUCCCUCUGUCACUCAGGUUCACUCAAGCUGACCUUCGUUAGUAUUUGCUAGUUUGACCAUGGUGGAGAUUUGAGACUCAAGGCUGGGGGAAGUUGCGGUAUUCACUAACGCACCAUAUGAACAGGUGUCUACAAUAGUUCCACUCCUGGUUUGAUGUAAAAAGGUUCAAGACUAGUCUACUAAAGUCCACUUGUAAUAUGAAGGAAAGUGACGUCAGAUUGAAAUAGCCUACUGCUUAAAUGUUGGUUUCAAAGAGGGCUGCUUCCCACGUUGACCAGCUGACCAGUUUGGAACAUAGGGAGUUAGGAUGUUGGGAAGUCUAUCCCUGGGUGAGCCAAUUGAGCUAACAGGAUUGGGGAUUAGCAUUGUUUAACCGAGAGUCUCUUAGGUGUGCUUAGCUGUCUUUCUGGAACUUUCCCAUCCACCUUCGCACUGAUUUGCCUCUCUUUUGAAGUGCUUCCAUAAGAGCAGGCCUCUCAGAAAGCCCACCUUCGGGCCUCUCGGCGGCUCAAUGAGGGAUUCUGUCCUCAAUAGUGCUGAACGGAGCAGAAAUGACUGCAGCCAUUGAUUCCGCCCCCUUAACAAAGAGCGUGUGAGGGAGAUUCACGCUGGAGCUGCAGUGCUUCUCAUGGUUCUCAUCAAUGGUACUCCUGUACUUGAUAAGAGUAGGGAGUUCUGGAGUUCUGCGUCCCCCCCAGUAGAGAGAGAGAGAGCUUAGUCCUGAUGGUCAGUCGGUGCAGAUUGCCUAAGGAGUGUAGGGGGGGGGGGAUCUUAGCUAGCUGGCUCCACUGAACACCUAGCCUAGUCAUCAUGGUACCAUCACCGGCUAAAGUCAAUGAGGUUGAUUGGAAGGAGUGCAACAAAAUCACUGACAUGAACAUGAAGAUACUUCUCAUGGCAACCAGAUACCCUCCAAAAAACUUGAUAACUCAAAAGUCGGGUGAGGAUGGAGUCAGGAUGGUAGAAAUAAAGAAAACAUUUGAGGUUUAGGGAGAUAAGAGAAGGAGUAUAAGUGAUGGGAAGGAUAAAAUAAAAAAACAAACAUAAAAUUCAUUUUUCUAGAUACAUUCUAAACAGCUUACUAGGCGAUUAUGGAAGAGCAUGCGAUUCCAUCUCUAAGGUUAUUGUACAUGAGCUAUAAUCAGAGGGGUCUGACAGACAGCAAAGGCUACUGGUGUUCAGAGAUUGAAACAAUUACAAACAAUUAUCAUAUUCAGUAGAGCAAUAUAAUACAGUUCACAGGCACUACAUCUUCAUAUAUCAUGUCAUAUGCUGGUUUCUUCUAGAUUUUCAUAUAACUUGUUUGAUCUUUAAGCUGGGAUCUCGAAAAGAAAACAAUUUGUCAUAAAAGAAGGCAAAGUAGAUACCAAAGAUCUCCAUUUGAAAUAUACACACAUAUACAUGGAUAAUAUGUGUAUAUAUACUAUGUGGAUAUAUAUUUAAUCAGUGCAUAGUUGCCAUGCAGAUUAAACUGCUAGGCUUAUACUUUGUCAGAAAGCAGGAUAAUAAGUUCAAUUUGUCUCAUUUGAUCAUUUCACUCUCCUUCAGCGGCUUGGUUUACUACUUAGCACCAUGUAAUGGUUUUUCAAGAGGAUAAAUAAAUAUCUUUGCAAAGGAUUAGUGACACUAUUUAUUCAUUAGAGUGGAGAGCUAUGGAACAGCUUCCAUGUUAACUCCCUUCGCAUUAAAUUACUUUCUGUGAUCCCUUCAAUGAAAAUGUAACAUACUGUACCUCCCUAUUGUUUUGCAAUGAAUUUGGUUCUAUACACAGACAACAAUGUGAAGAAUGUUUACUUCAUUUUCUAAAUAUGAUCAACCCCUAAACUAAAUUAUAAAUCGGGUGGUUCGAGCCCUGAAUGCUGAUUGGCUGAAAGCCAUGGUAUAUGGUAUACCAUGGGUAUGACACAACAUACAUUUUUACUGCUCUAAUAGCAAUUAGACACCUCGGGGGUUGUGGUAUAUGGUCAAUAUACCACUGCUACGGGCUGUAUCCAGGCUCUCCGCUUUGCAUCGUGUAUAAGAACUGCCUUUCGCCGUGGUAUAUUGGCCGUAUACCACACCUCCUCGGGCCGUAUUGUUGAAUUUUUCCGUAUGUAUAAAACGGUAACUUUUCCAUCUGGGUUCAAUGCCAGGGAGAAAAGAGCUCAGUUGGUAUCAUGUGUCUCUGGACAGAAGUGUCUCAGGGUUCAUUGAAGCUCUUCCCAUGUCACCGUUAGCGAAUGCCAUUCUGCCUAUGUAUUACACCCAUUGGUAUAUUUCACAUAUUUAGGUGUCUAAAUGGAUUGAAAAGUAUUACGUGUUGUUUCUUUAGUCGCAGCAUGAAACAUUGUAUUAGGAUUCUUCAGCCCUAAACCGAUGACUCUACAAAUGGAAAAUCACUACAUCAACAAUGCCCACGAGAAUUUGUACAGACGAAAGACAAGAAAGGCCUUUGAUGUGCGUCCGCAAAGCCUGGCCGUUAUUCAACUCUGUUUCCUGAUCUACGGGCAGAAUUCCUCAGACGGUGGUCAAAAUAGAUGUCGUUUCACGGGGAUGAAACAGAGUGGCUGGGCUGUCUAAGGCAUUGCAUCGCAGUGCUAGAGGCGUCACUACAGACCCUGGUUCGAUCCCAGGCUGUAUCACAACCGGCCGUGGUCGGGAGUCCAAUAGGGCGGCACACAAUUGACCCAGCAUCGGCCGGUUUAGGGGAGGGUUUGGCCGGGGUAGGCCGUCAUUGUAAGGUAAGAAUUUGUUCUUAACUGACUUGCUUAGUUAAGAAAAAGGUUAAAUAAAAUAGCCUAACUGACAUGACUGGAUGGGAAAAGGAUGGUGUGAAAGCUCUUCUUGUAGGCCCGGACUGAACAGCUCGUCAAUAUGAACCGUUCGGUGUCCCCUCUAUUUCUCCAGGACUACCUAGUGCAUACUUCUCCAACGAGACUACACAGGGUUGUUACAGGAGAGCUUCAUCAAGAGACUAAGGGAUCAAUUCAAAGCCAGAUCCUUCAUUUUGGGGAAUGACUCUUUCUGUUGGGUCCUUUUGCUCUGUCAGAUGGCAGUGUAUUCUCCUAGGACUACUUAGUGGUCUUUACUAUUGGAGUCUGUGGGCUUCUAAAGGAGAUCUGAUACGGUUGUACGUACACAGGGCUACCACUCAGGUGUGGUAUCGCCAACCGUGUAUUGGCUCUCCACCCUCUGCUGUACGUUACGGUAUUCCCCAGUUAUUUGUUUCAGCAUUACAGCUCAACUCGGUUCCAGAGACACUCCAAAGGGUGUUUGGCAAAAUGUUGAGAACAAGAUAAGAUGUGGGUGAAGGGAAAGGCUUUUCUUAGCCAGGCCAUCUUGAGUGAGUUAAAUGUGUAUAUGUUGGUGGUGAAUGGUUAGGUUAUGGUUAGGAUAUGGUUACCUGAGGAGAUGGAAGAAAAGUAGUACAACUGAAAAUGUCAGUAGUGUUUGAGGCCCCUGUGGGUUAAAUUGUCAACUCUAAUUUCUUGAGAUGAUAUUCCAAAAAUGUCUCUAUUAGCACAAAAUGUGAAUUAAAGCUUGCCAAUUCAGUUAAACAUCAGAAUCUUUGAGGUUCCCAGUUUGAGGGAGCAGAGGGUGACUGCAGAUAAGUUGUGUACAGGUUAUUCCACACACCUUCCCAUGCAGCUCCUGUUACAAAGUUUCAGGAAACUUGUACAAUAUUAUUUUUUUAACUCACCCCAAUCUAGGCCAGCGGUGUGUGUUUGUUGGCGGUAACCGUGUUUUGCAAAUGCAAUGAAGAACAGCAAGAGAGUGUGUCAAUGGAAAGUGGUGUGAGAGGACCCACGGUUUAUGAGGACUAUUUGGUGAUGAAGUGGGGUGGCAGGUAGCCUAGUGGUUAGAGCGUUGGGCCAGUAACCGAAAGGUUGCUAGAUCGAAUCCCCGAACUAAACAUAUGUUGUUCUGCCCCUGAACAAGACAGUUAACCCACUGUUCCCCGGGAGGCCUUCAUUGUAAAUACGAGUUUGUUUUUAGCCGAGUUAAAUAAAGGUCAAAUAAAUCAAUAAAAGGGUUGAGAGAGGGAAGGAAAUAUGUGAAAAAGGAAAAGAAUCAUGUUGCAUAUCAAGCUGUUUAUUUUCCUGCAUGGAAUGGUGAACAGAAAAAAAGAUGCCUAGAUGCAUUUAUAAUAGGGGCAUCCUUUGCCUGUCUAUGUCAUUGUCUUCUGCCUAAACUAAAAAAAAAAGUAUGCAUAAAAAAACACUAUAUUUUCUUACCAAUUUCCUUAAAAUUACCUAAAUUUACCUUCAUCAACACUGAUGCAACAAAUAACCUUCAAAACAUACAGUAUACUGUAACAUCCAUUUACAAUGGGCUUUUCACCUCAAUUCUCUAUACUUCUUAAGUAUAGGAAUACGCUAUACCAUCAAAAGAAGAAAAAGUCCUUAAAUACAUUUUUUAAACAAAAAAAGGAAAACGGGAAAGUUUUCAACUUAAAUCCAGUUCCCAGAGAACAAACAAACCCCAUUCUAUGACUGUGGCCUUAAUACAAACAAACCCCAUUCUAUGACUGUGGCCUUAAUACAAACAAACCCCAUUCUAUUACUGUGGCCUUAAUACAAACAAACCCCAUUCUAUGACUGUGGCCUUAAUACAAACAAACCCCAUUCUAUGACUGUGGCCUUAAUACAAACAAACCCCAUUCUAUGACUGUGGCCUUAAUACAAACAAACCCCAUUCUAUGACUGUGGCCUUAAUACAAACAAACCCCAUUCUAUGACUGUGGCCUUAAUACAAACAAACCCCAUUCUAUGACUGUGGCCUUAAUACAAACAAUCAGAAAAUUCACAACACUAGUUUUUCUCCUCAUUUAAUCAAUGUUACAAAAGUCCUGCAUUAUAAAAUAGGGCAGCUUUAAAAUCAGUGUAAUUAAUAAAACUAUACAACAUACAAACACCACGUCUCCCACAGUCAGGGCAUUCAGCCCUGCCUGCUCCAUCGCUUCCUUGUCAUUUUUUAGGUGUUCCUUUGUCAUCAUCAACUCUUUUCCCCACUUCUAUACCCAGAACUAAAUUACACACAACACAAGAACAAAAACAGACUGCCCAAACUAUUGCUUAGUUUUUCUGUCUUUAAAAAGGGUGUCAUUUUGUCGUAUCUUACACACACACAGCCAAAUCUUGCUGAUUAGAUGCUAGGCUGUUCACAAUGAGUUUUUGUGACAAAAAAUGUCCGUGCAAUUGUUUUUUCCCUUCGCUUUUAAGCCGUGGAAGCCGUUUCUUUUCAAUAAUUCUCACUAUUGUCAUUUGUUUCACAUUUAGUGCAGAUAAUUAGGAAAGUAAUGCCCAACUCAUCGCUAAAGGGUAGGCAAGAACAAAGACAAAAACUGUCAUACUAAAGGACAAACACAAACCCACGAAGUCUUACUACUAAACCAUCACCAAGGCUUCCCCCAAAAAACACAUCAUUGACUUGUUUAACUCAUAAAUGUUAAAGACAGAUCAACAGGUGUUGAACAGAUCAACAGGUAAACAAUGAAUAUAUGUCAGGAAGUCUGUUGAAAUGGAGGAAAUAGAAAGUGGCAUUUUUAUUUGUUGGACGUCAUAUUUUUUUGUCUGUCAAAUGUGGAUUUUGUGAUGGAGAGGAAGUUUGACUUGUUUAAGACUUGCUUGUGAACCCCCAACGCCCCCAAAAAAGGAGAACCUAAUAUAUUCUGCGGUCGGCUUGUUAGUGUUGAAAACAAAGAAAGUAGAAUACCCGAGCGAGGCUGCCUGGGCUUUGCGAGCCCUUUGUUCUCCAGGAGUGGGUCUGCCUAAGGGACCGACCACCAACCAUGUAGCCAGUCAAGUGCAACCUAACUGUGGUUAAAAAAAAUAAAAAAAUAAACAGCACAAACAAAUGACUAAGUGACUGUCUACAUGAGUGCAAGCAGCUAUUGCAUAUUCUUUUUCAUUAUUCAUUUCUGAAUAAAAAAUAUAUUAAAAAAAGGAAAACUCCAAAGCCAAAAGAAGUUUCCAUUUAGAAAUGUCAGCAACAUCCAUAAAUAUCUAUAGAUUGGUAUUCUCAACACAAAGAAGGGUUAAGGGUCAAUGACUGGGGGGUUAACUAAACUAUCUUCAAGAUAUAAAGAGGGCUAUUUCUACUUACGGAAUGAGUAAAAAGGGGGCCAUGUCGGGGUGAUUGACGCUGGCCUAGUUAAACAGCAGUAUAAGACAGAUAUAGUGUUUCAGGUCUGCUACACACACAGCACCUCCAUGUUGCAUCAUAGUGUGCUGUCGUACAGGCCUGAGAUGUCUUCCAUUUCAUCAUUCAUGUUUCUUAUCAGUAUAACAACGCUGAUUCAGUUUCUACACAAUGGGAGGUGGGGGAUGAAAACAAAUAAGAAACAAGGCACAUUUAUGAGGAACAAUUGUUUCGUGCAAUUAGAGAACAUACGAACGAAAUAUAUACUUUAAGGUUAGAGUUUUUUGUUGUUGAUCAUUUCAAGAGGGAACGAAAGAGGAAAAACGAUUCGGAAAUGAUGAGAAGCGAAGAAGAGUCUGAAAGACGUUCAAGCUGGUUGAUUGUGAAGGCCAGCAGUAAAAAAAAGCCUCUCGAAGGGCCAAACAGACAGAGUCUAUUGGCAAGUGCCUGAUGUUGGGAAUAGGAUAUUGUGUCUUUAUUCACUAACUCUAAUCUAUGUAAAGGUUUGUCACUAACACUACAACAUGCAGAUAAAAAAACAUUUGUAAUACUUUUAUUCAGUUUUGAUCGAGGGUGGAUGAGUCAGUCUUAACAAUGUAUAUAUAUAUAUAUAGUAUAGGAAAGAAAAACAAAAGUUCAAUAAAAUGGUAAGUUGCAUGCGAAGCAACUGAAAAGCUUCGCCGUCUCGUUGCAAUCUUGCCUUGAUGUAGAUAUCAAUGUGUUUUCAACACAAAUGGUCACUCUUUCUCACUCAACUACAAUCCUCUGAUUAGACUCCCAGCCCAUAAACCAACUGCAGGAACAAGUGCUUCUGAUUGGACAAGGCUUAGAGAAGGCCUAGCCAAUCAAACAGGCAAACCAGAACUUGGAUGCCCGGUAUUAGAUGAUCUUUUCAAGCGAAAGUGGAGAUUUAUGUUUUCGAUAUUUGUUCGCAUUGUAUGUUCUUGAUUUUGCCUCAUGAGAAAUUUGAACUACUACUUAUUUCUUUUAAAAUCAAGUGCUUUCUUAAAAUAAGUUAAUCACUUUGCUUUUUUAAAAUUAAUAGCAGACUAGAUUCAAAGCUGCAAGAAAUGCUUUAAAAUGGAUUGUUUAAAAUGACAAUAUUUCUAAAAGGGAUUUACAUUUUUUACAUUCUACGAUACUAGCAAAUUUACAAGAUGAACAAACAAACAAAUAAAAGACAACAAAAGCUCAAUACAUCUGUUAUUUUCUCACCAGACCAUCGUGCUAGUUGACUUUUUUUUGUACCCCGAUAUUUUAGAGGUGUGUAUGGACUAGGAAGAAAAAUAUAUGAUUUUCAACUAUUUUAACGACAUAUCCUACAAAGAUAUUUAAUUAUCCAACCACUAUCCAACGAAAUUGCACUGUCCUCAAUUCAAUAUUCCACUGUUGACGAUAGAUAGAUGUCUCCAGUCAGUUUGUAGGAUUAAAGACCUUCGCCCUUUUGCAUUGUAUAGCAUUGUAAAACCGUUAGUUUGAACUGAAAUGACCUCUAUACAAAAAUGUAACAUGAACAAGCCUCCCAGUCAGAGGUUUUCUCACAAGCUUCUCAUUGAAAUACUUCUCUUCUUGUUGCAGGCUUUAAACCAGUUUCAAUAUGUCACCUGAUUGACCGAUAUUAAACAUGAAUACCCCAUCCCCUCUCUGGUCCCUUGUGAGUUCAUAGUGUUGGUUGUUCUCCUCUGCAUGGUCUUUCAGCUGCACUGAUGUCCCUGGAAAAGCCCCGUGGUGGGGUGAAGACCUUCAGACUCUUGGCUGUGGGGGAGUGUCCCUCCUCAGGGUGGGUGCUGGGUAGGUCUGGUUUGGGGUAGGGUGGGGAGACUGAGAGCUAUUAACUGGUUGGUAUCUGACCCAGCUAAAACCUCUACCUCCGUGAGCCACUGAACCGAAAACAGAGUCCGGUAACAACCAUAGAACAAAAGAAACAAGAGCUCUGAUCUUCCUCUCGUUUCGGGACAUGUGACGCCAGCAGAGCUUUAUACACACAUGUACACGGGACUCUUAGGUCUCUGUGCCGGACCUUCUCCACAGGUCGGCUACGGCAACAAAGGGUUGAGGGAAGCUCUUUUAUUUAGUCAGGUGAUGUCUCCCCCCUCUGCGGCAAAGUGGGGACGAUGAGAAGAAAUAGAAAAAUAAACAAACACAACGUGUACCAGGAGCUACUCUCGAGAGCUACUCUCUUGGAGCUCCAGCUAGCACAUCCAAUAGACAGCUGGGGGGACUGGUACUAUAUAUGAAUAUAGACAUAUGAACCAUAUGAAUGAGGGUAUAUAUGGGCUGUAUAGAUAUAUAGUAUGUACGUGUGUAAGCAGUCAGUAGCUCUGCUCUUGUUUUUGGGGGAUGGGAGAGGGCGGGGUGGUCUGUUGUAGCCAUGCAGUGACAGAUUUGAGGGGUUGGGCUUCUCUCUGUCAAACAGGUGAGCACGUUUGCAGGGGUUCAUGGUUAGGUCGCACUCAGGGGAGAAAGUAGGGGGUCCAGCGAUCUGUCCAGUGGGCUGUCCAGCGGGCUGCUAGGGGGUCUGGAGUCCCUAGCCCAGGUACCACUGCAGAACAGAGAGAGGGAUGAAGGGAGACAGAAGACAGUUGAGAUCAAUUUAAUUUAAGCAGACAAUAGAUCAGUUCCUUUGCCUCAAGUCGGUGCUCUACCUUUCCAUUUCCUUUCCAUCUCUGUCUCACCUCUCUACUGAGUACCUAGCUGCUAGGCAAGGGUGUUCCUAUACACUCUAUCCAGCCGGUCACUGUGUACCUUCUGAACAACUUCUGCCAUGCUUUACUGUGUUUAAGCUCUGAACAAAGUGAGGGGUAGAGAGAGGAAAAAAAGAGAAAGACAGAAAGACAGACAGACAGACCGACUGACAGACAGAGAGGCAGACAGACAGAGAGAGAGGCAGACAGACAGAGAGGCAGACAGACAGACAGACAGACUGACAGAGAGAGAGGCAGACAGACAGAGAGGCAGACAGACAGAGAGGCAGACAGACAGACUGACUGACUGAGAGACAGAGAGAGAGAGAGAGACAGACAGACAGACAGACAGACAGACAGACAGACAGACAGACAGA
Oncorhynchus tshawytscha (Chinook salmon) is the source of this 9727-nucleotide long non-coding RNA. The record is from Ensembl. Lineage: Eukaryota; Metazoa; Chordata; Actinopteri; Salmoniformes; Salmonidae.